UACGAAGGGUGCAAGCGUUACUCGGAAUUACUGGGCGUAAAGCGUGCGUAGGUGGUUCGUUAAGUCUGUCGUGAAAGCCCCGGGCUCAACCUGGGAAUGGCGAUGGAUACUGGCGGGCUAGAGUGCGGUAGAGGAGAGUGGAAUUCCCGGUGUAGCAGUGAAAUGCGUAGAGAUCGGGAGGAACACCAGUGGCGAAGGCGGCCUUCUGGACCAGCACUGACACUCAAGCACGAAAGCGUGGGGAGCAAACAGGG
Molecule: ribosomal RNA, 254 nt
Filed under: uncultured bacterium
Lineage: Bacteria
Description: partial 16S ribosomal RNA
Rfam family: Bacterial small subunit ribosomal RNA
Source: RNAcentral